GCCCGCGAGAGACAGCAGCAGCCAAGCGAGGAGAAACGGCUCUAGCAACUCCAUGCAGCAGCUCCACACAGCGAUCAAGGCAACAUUCCGGUGGAAUUCAAAAGUCUGUUAAAGACGGAUCUGUACAAAUCCGUCCAGGUCAGUUUCGUUUCAAUUCAAACCUCAUUCAAAUAAAUUUUCCUAGCUUUGACUGAAUUACAUGCUCGUACUAUGCAAGAAUAAUUUCAUGCUACUAUCUCG
RNAcentral lists this unclassified non-coding RNA (240 nucleotides) under Hevea brasiliensis (rubber tree). The record is from RNAcentral. Lineage: Eukaryota; Viridiplantae; Streptophyta; Magnoliopsida; Malpighiales; Euphorbiaceae.